Molecule: ribosomal RNA, 613 nt
Filed under: uncultured bacterium
Lineage: Bacteria
Description: bacterial SSU rRNA
Rfam family: Bacterial small subunit ribosomal RNA
Source: RNAcentral
AAAAGAUGGUUCUGCUAUCACUCUUGGAUGGACCUGCGGUGCAUUAGCUAGUUGGUAAGGUAACGGCUUACCAAGGCAAUGAUGCAUAGCCGAGUUGAGAGACUGAUCGGCCACAUUGGGACUGAGACACGGCCCAAACUCCUACGGGAGGCAGCAGUAGGGAAUCUUCCACAAUGGACGCAAGUCUGAUGGAGCAACGCCGCGUGAGUGAAGAAGGGUUUCGGCUCGUAAAGCUCUGUUGGUAGUGAAGAAAGAUAGAGGUAGUAACUGGCCUUUAUUUGACGGUAAUUACCUAGAAAGUCACGGCUAACUACGUGCCAGCAGCCGCGGUAAUACGUAGGUGGCAAGCGUUGUCCGGAUUUAUUGGGCGUAGAGCGAGUGCAGGCGGUUCAAUAAGUCUGAUGUGAAAGCCUUCGGCUCAACCGGAGAAUUGCAUCAGAAACUGUUGAACUUGAGUGCAGAAGAGGAGAGUGGAACUCCAUGUGUAGCGGUGGAAUGCGUAGAUAUAUGGAAGAACACCAGUGGCGAAGGCGGCUCUCUGGUCUGCAACUGACGCUGAGGCUCGAAAGCAUGGGUAGCGAACAGGAUUAGAUACCCUGGUAGUCCAUGCCGU